UUAAAAAUUAUAUAUAAUAUUAAUUAACUAUAAAUUAAAUAGAUGUAUCUCAAAUAUCUUCUCAAUCUCAUGGAGAAUCCUUGACCCUCUCAAAUCCAAAUGUAUCUCAAAUAUCUUCUCAAUCUCAUGGAUAAUCCUUGAUCCUCUCAAAUCCAAAUGUAUCUCAAAUAUCUUCUCAAUCUCAUGGAGAAUCCUUGACCCUCUCAAAUCCAA
Molecule: long non-coding RNA, 213 nt
Organism: Gordionus sp. m RMFG-2023
Lineage: Eukaryota; Metazoa; Nematomorpha; Gordioida; Chordodea; Parachordodidae
Exons: 3
Source: RefSeq, a predicted model, not a curated record